UUGACUUUGAACUGCGAAUGGCUCAUUAUAUCAGUUAUAGUUUAUUUGAUGAAGGAUACUAAUUGGAUAACCGUAGUAAUUCUAGGGCUAAUACAUG
RNAcentral lists this ribosomal RNA (97 nucleotides) under Blastocystis hominis. Its description in RNAcentral is "partial small subunit ribosomal RNA". It matches the Rfam family "Eukaryotic small subunit ribosomal RNA", at positions 75 to 173 of the family's 1831-position model. Lineage: Eukaryota; Bigyra; Opalinata; Blastocystidae. The record is from RNAcentral.